RNAcentral lists this ribosomal RNA (201 nucleotides) under uncultured Actinomycetes bacterium. RNAcentral describes it as "uncultured actinobacterium partial 16S ribosomal RNA". It matches the Rfam family "Bacterial small subunit ribosomal RNA", at positions 522 to 722 of the family's 1533-position model. The record is from RNAcentral. Lineage: Bacteria; Bacillati; Actinomycetota; Actinomycetes.
AAUACAUAGGGUGCAAGCGUUGUCCGGAAUUAUUGGGCGUAAAGAGCUCGUAGGUCGUUUGUUACGUCGGAUGUGAAAACCUGAGGCUCAACCUCAGGCCUGCAUUCGAUACGGGCAAACUAGAGUUUGGUAGGGGAGACUGGAAUUCCUGGUGUAGCGGUGGAAUGCGCAGAUAUCAAGAGGAACACCAAUGGCGAAGGC